Molecule: long non-coding RNA, 453 nt
Filed under: Rattus norvegicus (Norway rat)
Lineage: Eukaryota; Metazoa; Chordata; Mammalia; Rodentia; Muridae
Description: long non-coding RNA NONRATT003464
Source: RNAcentral
CAACAUGGCCUUGAACGGUGCAGAUGUCGAUGAUUUCACCUGGGAGCCUCCGACUGAAGCUGAGACGAAGGUGCUGCAGGCGCGACGGGAGCGGCAGGAUCGCAUCUCUCGUCUCAUGGGCGACUACCUGCUCCGUGGUUACCGCAUGCUAGGCGACACGUGCGCGGACUGCGGGGUGAGACGAUCCUCCUCCAAGAUAAACAGCGGAAAAUCUACUGCGUGGCUUGUCAGGAGCUCGACUCAGACGUGGAUAAAGAUAACCCGGCUCUGAAUGCACAGGCAGCCCUCUCUCAAGCUCGGGAACACCAGCUGGCCUCUACUACAGAGCCUGCCUCCAGCUCUCGGCCCCCAUCCCAGCCACCAGUACCCCGUCCAGAGCACUGUGAGGGAGCUGCAGCAGGGCUCAAGGCAGCCCAGGGGCCUCCUCUUCCUGCUGCACCUCCAAAUGCAGAC